This 301-nucleotide unclassified non-coding RNA is filed under the name Glomus sp. Its description in RNAcentral is "partial contains 5.8S ribosomal RNA and internal transcribed spacer 2". The stretch from base 1 to 65 matches the Rfam family "5.8S ribosomal RNA", at positions 84 to 154 of the family's 154-position model. Lineage: Eukaryota; Fungi; Glomeromycota; Glomeromycetes; Glomerales; Glomeraceae. The record is from RNAcentral.
GUGAAUCAUCGAAUCUUUGAACGCAAAUUGCACUCUCCUCGGAGAGUAAGACUGUUUGAGGGUCAGCCUAUAAAAAUCGACAUUGUUGCUGUUUCGCGGUGGCGCUCGUCGGUAAUUGGGUUAUUUUAAAUCCUUUUGGUUUUUAAGCGACUUAAAAUUUUCUUUUUGGUUCCUUGAACGUUUCUAAGAACUAUUUCUUUACAUGUUUAAGGUAUCGAUUUUUACUAGACGUGACCAGAAUAUCGGAUCGCGUACAUAAUCUUUCAUUAACUGACCUCAGACAGGGAAGAGUACCCGCUGA